Molecule: ribosomal RNA, 957 nt
Filed under: uncultured archaeon 20c-42
Lineage: Archaea
Description: bacterial SSU rRNA
Rfam family: Archaeal small subunit ribosomal RNA
Source: RNAcentral
CCGGUUGAUCCUGCCGGAGGCUACUGCUAUUGGAAUUCGAUUAAGCCAUGCGAGUUUAAAGGACUUCGGUCCUUGGCAGACGGCUCAGUAACACGUGGAGAACCUGCCCUCAGGAGGGGGAUAACCCUGGGAAACUGGGAAUAAUACCCCAUAGGUCUAGAAUGCUGGAAUGCUUCUAGGCUCAAAGCUCCGGCGCCUGAGGAUGGCUCUGCGGCUUAUCAGGUUGUAGUGAGAGUAACGUCCUCACUAGCCUAUGACGGGUACGGGCCCUGAGAGGGGAUGCCCGGAGAUGGACUCUGAGACACGAGUCCAGGCCCUACGGGGCGCAGCAGGCGCGAAAACUCCGCAAUGCUCGAAAGAGUGACGGGGGGAUUCCAAGUGCCUACGCUUAGCGUAGGCUGUUCAGAUGCCUAAAAAGCAUCUGGAGUAAGGGCUGGGUAAGACGGGUGCCAUCUGUGGCAGCAGCCGAAGAUUUGGCUUGUUGCUGCAAGGCAUAAGCCGCCGCGGUAAUACCCGCAGCCCGAGUGGUAGUCGAUUUUAUUGGGCCUAAAGCGUCCGUAUCCGGUCUGAUAAAUGCCUGGGUAAAUCGUCUGGCUUAACCAGACGAAUUCCGGGUAGACUGUCAGACUUGGGACCGGUUGAGGAAGAGGGUACUUUAGGGGUAGGAGUGAAAUCCUGUAAUCCUUGAAGGACCACCAGUGGCGAAGGCGCUCUUCUAGGACGGGUCCGACGGUGAGGGACGAAAGCCAGGGGAGCAAACCGGAUUAGAUACCCGGGUAGUCCUGGCCGUAAACGAUGUGGGCUUUGCAUUGGGGGUUCUACGUGGGCGCCCAGUGCCGUAGCGAAGGCGUUAAGCCCACCGCCUGGGAAGUAUGGUCGCAAGGCUGAAACUUAAAGGAAUUGGCGGGGGAGCACAGCAACGGGAGGAGCGUGCGGUUUAAUUGGAUUCAACGCCGG